GGCCAGACUCCUACGGGAGGCAGCAGUGGGGAAUAUUGCACAAUGGGGGAAACCCUGAUGCAGCGACGCCGCGUGAGCGAUGAAGUAUUUCGGUAUGUAAAGCUCUAUCAGCAGGGAAGAAAAUGACGGUACCUGACUAAGAAGCCCCGGCCAACUACGUGCCAGCAGCCGCGGUAAUACGUAGGGGGCAAGCGUUAUCCGGAUUUACUGGGUGUAAAGGGGGCGCAGACGGCGAUGCAAGCCAGGAGUGAAAGCCCGGGGCCCAACCCCGGGACUGCUCUUGGAACUGCGUGGCUGGAGUGCAGGAGGGGCAGGCGGAAUUCCUGGUGUAGCGGUGAAAUGCGUAGAUAUCAGGAGGAACACCGGUGGCGAAGGCGGCCUGCUGGACUGCAACUGACGUUGAGGCCCGAAAGCGUGGGGAGCAAACAGGAUUAGAUACCCUAGUA
This 446-nucleotide ribosomal RNA is filed under the name uncultured bacterium. RNAcentral describes it as "bacterial SSU rRNA". It matches the Rfam family "Bacterial small subunit ribosomal RNA", at positions 329 to 792 of the family's 1533-position model. The record is from RNAcentral.